UUCACUAUUGGCCGAGUUUGAUUUGCUCUCUCAAUUACAAAACCAAGUACGAACACUCGCUUAACUAUUAAAUCUGACUCAUUUUGCGCUUUUGGACAGUUUGAAGAACCAUUUUGCUUGUUACUGAGAAAUAUUCACAUAUUUGCUUGUUUUAUACCGAGGUUUAGUUGAUGUAACAUAUCGUGCUUACGUGUAAAACUUUUACUUAUUUGUAUAACAC
RNAcentral lists this long non-coding RNA (220 nucleotides) under Oryza brachyantha (malo sina). RNAcentral's name for it is "long non-coding RNA (OBRA_LNC002749)". The record is from RNAcentral. Lineage: Eukaryota; Viridiplantae; Streptophyta; Magnoliopsida; Poales; Poaceae.